GCAAAAUAUACAGGACGCCAUGCUUAGAAGUAACCCAUGUGAUGAUUUUAACGUUUUGGAUCUAAUAAGAUCUCUAGACAUUGUUAAAUCAUCCGGAAAACGUCACACUUCUUCUACGAAAUAUAAUAUAACUAUAGACGCCACGAGCGAUAAAACGAACUUAACACCAUUUUUUUCUGAGUUAAUGAACCGUGCUUAUAAAAAACGCAAUAAUUGUAGAGAGUCAAAUGAAAUUAUAGUAGUUCACGUUGAUCAGGUUGCGAGAACCCACCAACAGUUGCUUCAAGUAGCGCAUUAGCUAAGCCAUCAUUUUCAACGACAGCGUUCCAGGCUUCAAGCUUUGCAGCUGCUGUUGGAAUCCCUGCUUUAGCUGAAGCAGCUUGGCGCUGACCACCUGCAGUGUUGUCACGAGCGAGCUCGCUAUCGAUCGCUGCUGGUGUUAGGACACCAAGUGAAACCAGUCCGUGGAAGUUGCACGAGUGAGAAUGUAGACAUGAGUAGCGAAAGAUGGGUGAGAAACCCGUCCGCCGAAUGACCAAGGGUUCCUGGGCCAGGCUAAUCCGCCCAGGGUAAGUCGGGACCUAAGACGAGGCCGUCAGGCGUAGUCGAUGGACAACUGGUUGAUAUUCCAGUACCUGCUUAGAGCGCCCAUGCCGAGCCCGCUAAUGCUAAGUGCCUGAAGUCUGACUGGCGUAAAACCCAGGCUGGAUGGAGCGCGCGAACCAAGGUGGUAGUAGGCAAGCAAUGGUGUGACACAGGAAGGUAGUUGAUCCCGGGCGAUGGUUGUCCCGGGGUAAGGAUGUAGGGUGGUGCGUAGGUAAAUCCGCGUGCUAAUACCUGAGAUCUGAUGCCGAGCCGUAUGGCGAAGUCAAUGAUCCUAUGCUGUCAAGAAAAGCAUCUAGCGAGCUCAAAAGCAGCCCGUACCCGAAACCGACACAGGUGGUCAGGUAGAGAAUACCAAGGCGAUCGAGAGAAUCGUGGUGAAGGAACUCGGCAAAUUACCCCCGUAACUUCGGGAGAAGGGGGGCCAAUUCGCGUGUAAGGGUUUACCCCUGAAGCGUGAGUCGGCCGCAGAGACUAGGCUCAAGCGACUGUUUACCAAAAACACACGUCCGUGCAAAGUUGCAAAACGACGUAUACGGACUGACGCCUGCCCGGUGCUGGAAGGUUAAGGGGACUGGUUAGCCGCAAGGCGAAGCUGAGAACUUAAGCCCCAGUAAACGGCGGUGGUAACUAUAACCAUCCUAAGGUAGCGAAAUUCCUUGUCGGGUAAGUUCCGACCUGCACGAAUGGCGUAACGACUUCCCAGCUGUCUCAACCACGAACUCGGCGAAAUUGCACUACGAGUAAAGAUGCUCGUUACGCGCAGCAGGACGGAAAGACCCCGGGACCUUUACUACAGCUUGGUAUUGGUGUUCGGUGUGGCUUGUGUAGGAUAGGUGGGAGACUUUGAAGCGAGGACGCUAGUUCUCGUGGAGUCAUUGUUGAAAUACCACUCUUGUAGCCCUGGAUAUCUAACCACGAACCGUAAUCCGGUUCUGGAACAGUGCCUGGUGGGUAGUUUAACUGGGGCGGUUGCCUCCUAAAAAGUAACGGAGGCGCCCAAAGGUUCCCUCAGCCUGGUUGGUAAUCAGGUGUCGAGUGUAAGUGCACAAGGGAGCUUGACUGUGAGACUGACAAGUCGAGCAGGGACGAAAGUCGGGACUAGUGAUCCGGCAGUGGCUUGUGGAAGCGCUGUCGCUCAACGGAUAAAAGGUACCCCGGGGAUAACAGGCUGAUCUUGCCCAAGAG
Molecule: ribosomal RNA, 1791 nt
Filed under: marine metagenome
Description: bacterial LSU rRNA
Rfam family: Bacterial large subunit ribosomal RNA (bases 226-1791)
Source: RNAcentral